RNAcentral lists this ribosomal RNA (253 nucleotides) under uncultured bacterium. RNAcentral's name for it is "partial 16S ribosomal RNA". It matches the Rfam family "Bacterial small subunit ribosomal RNA", at positions 524 to 776 of the family's 1533-position model. The record is from RNAcentral.
UACGUAGGGUGCGAGCGUUAAUCGGAAUUACUGGGCGUAAAGCGUGCGCAGGCGGUGAUGUAAGACAGAUGUGAAAUCCCCGGGCUCAACCUGGGACCUGCAUUUGUGACUGCAUCGCUAGAGUACGGCAGAGGGGGGUGGAAUUCCGCGUGUAGCAGUGAAAUGCGUAGAUAUGCGGAGGAACACCAGUGGCGAAGGCGGCUACCUGGACCGGUUCUGACGCUGAUGCGCGAAAGCGUGGGUAGCAAACAGG